Choloepus didactylus (southern two-toed sloth) is the source of this 644-nucleotide long non-coding RNA. RefSeq lists it as uncharacterized. NCBI's taxonomy places the organism in Eukaryota, Metazoa, Chordata, Mammalia, Pilosa, Megalonychidae. The record is from RefSeq and is a predicted model, not a curated record. The transcript is spliced from 3 exons.
CACCAUUUGAAGCAGGAUCUCCAGCGCAGGGAGCUGGGGACAGGUUCCCAGGGAGAGGAGGACCCACGCAAGGUGCUGACAGAAGGUUCAGCGGGCCAAGGCUAUGCGUGAGGCCUCGGGGGAGCCCUGGGGACCACCUCUGGCUCAUCCUGAGGAUUAUCGCAGAACCCUCCUCUGCUGGGUGUCUUCUGCAAUGUCUCCUUAUGACAAGGUGCCACUGCAGUCAGGCAGAGCCUUGCGUGCCAGCUCUGCCAUUUGUCGGCCGAGGCCUGUUCGGAUGAAGCACCUGUGGGGAACAGGGAGCCAGCUGAGUCCCUGUGGAGACUCCUGCAGCUGUGUGCCAUCCUCCCUCCUCAGCUCAUCUAAGCCUUCUCCUUGGGCGCUGGGCUGUGCCCCCUCCUUGGCUGUGACCCUGUGGGUGCCAUUUCCCUCCACGGGCUCCAGCUGUUCCAUGUUGCCCUGCUGGGCCCGGCGCUGGUGGGGGAGCUGGGGAAACUGUCGAGACACUCCCCUCAGUGCAGGGAAAACACCAAGCAGCUGGGAUUGAUCGCCCGAGGGCCCCCUCCCCACAGUGAGGCGAAGCCCAUUAGUGUUUUCUUCUCGUGGGGGGCAGGGCCAGCGGGGGGAGGCGCAGCUGGAGCCUG